UCUUCUUGAAAUUAAUUUGAGGUUUUGCCUGCCCAAUGAUAUUUUAAUGGCCGCGGUAUUUUGACCGUGCAAAGGUAGCAUAGUCAUUAGUUACUUAAUUAGUAACUUGUAUGAAUGGUUUGACGAGACAUUAACUGUCUAUUAUUUAUUUUUUGAAAUUAAAUUUUGAGUUAAAAUGCUUAAAUUUUUUUAUCGGACGAGAAGACCCUAUAGAUCUUUACUUAAAUUUAUUUUCUUUAUGUUUGGGUUAUAUAUUUAUAUUUUUAUUUGAGUUUUGUUGGGGUGACUUGAAGAUAUAAAUAACUCUUUAUUUUUUUUUACUUUAAUUUAUGAAUUAUUGACCUUUUAUUAUUGUUAAAAGAUUUAGAUACCUUAGGGAUAACAGCGUAAUUUUUUUUGAGAGUUCAUAUUGACAAUGAAGAUUGCGACCUCGAUGUUGGAUUAAGAUAAGUUUUAGGUGCAGUAGCUUAUGAUUUUUGGUCUGUUCGACCAUUAAAUUCUUACAUGAUCUGA
Molecule: ribosomal RNA, 513 nt
Filed under: Carausius gardineri
Lineage: Eukaryota; Metazoa; Arthropoda; Insecta; Phasmatodea; Lonchodidae
Description: partial 16S ribosomal RNA
Rfam family: Bacterial large subunit ribosomal RNA
Source: RNAcentral